CAUUUUAUUUCACUUCUGACUGAGAUGGUUAGGCACUGUUUCUUGGGAGAAAUGCUUUUGAGCAGAUACUAAAGGGGUAGGCAGAACUUGAGCACGUUGAGAUUAGAGGGAAGGGCAUUUGAAGGGGAAGGACCAGGAGGGAAGGUGUGAGAAGUAAGGAAUGGCUCCGUUUGGUUGAUCAUAGGAAAGAGAAAAGGGCCGUGGGAGAGAAGGAUGGGAAAUAGGGUGAGAUCGUGGAAUGCCUUGAAUUACAUGCUGAAGAGUUUAACCUUCCUCCUGUGGGAUAUAGGCAAUGGAAAACUAUGAUGGUUUUUGACCAAGAGUAUCCCAUGAACAAACUUUAAUCUGAUGAGAAUGAUCUAGCAAUGGUGCGUACGAUUUAGACGGUAUACAGUUUUCAUCCCUUAACUUCCUUUCUGCUUCUCCAAAGUGACUCACCGGCCACCACAAAGUGUUUGAACACUCCUGUCUUCAAGAGGUGGGGCUUAGUUUUCCGUCUUCUUGAGUGUGGGCUGAACGUAGCUAUUUCAUUCUAAUGAAUGGAAGAAAGCAGGGACAGGGUGAGAUUCACAGAGUAGGUCAUAAAAGGACACUGUGACUUCCAUCUUGGUCACACUGUCACUUGGGUCACUUGCUUUGGAGGAAGAUCGACACCAAGGUGUGGGCAGACCUAUGGAGAGAACCACGUGGUGAAGAACUAAGGCAUCCUACACCAGCCAAGAAAGUGAACUUGGAAGUGUGUCUCCCCCUCCCAUUCAAACCCCAGCUGACAUCUUGACUGCAGCCUUGCGAGAGACCUUCAAUCAGAAACACCAAGCUAUGCUGCUUCCCAGUUUCUGACCUAUAGAAACAAUGAGAUAAUAAAUGUGUGUCGCUUUAAGCCAAUACAUUUGGGGUAAUUUCUUAUGAAGCAAAAAUUAAUAAAUGCAAGUACCCAGAGUGAUCUUUUAAAAUCAGGUUAUGUCCCUCCUCUGUUUGAUACCCCUCAGCGGCUUCCAUUUCACCUGAAAGAAAGACAAACCAUUUUCUCACAUCUGGCGUGACGACAGAGUGGGAUCAACAAAUCCUGUCUCCCAAAGCUGGACAACACUGUCAAAAAUAGUCACUGCAGCCUUGUGCAAACUGACCGAAGGCAUUCAACAAACUGAGAAGCGUUUCUUAAUGAACAUGACCAAGCUUCAGGCAAGAACACCGUGAAUCUCUGACAUUUUUGCCCACGUGUGCUCCUACGCUUGAAAGCAACAAGGGGAAUACGAUUCACGACUGACUUCUCUUUAGAAAUAAUGGAGACCAAAGGCAGCAGAAUGACAUACUUGAAAUGCUGACAUAAGACACACUGUCAAGCAAGAAUUCUCAGUCUAGCAAAUAUAAAAAAUGAAGAUGAAAUAUAUGCAUUUUCAGAUAAACAAAGACUGAAGAAUUUGUUGCUAGCAGACCUGCCUUACGAGAAAUACUAAAGGAAGUUUUUCGAGCUGAAAUCGAUGCUAGGCAGUGAUUUGAAUUCACAAGAAGAAAUGAAGAAUACCAGAAAUGGUGACCUUUAUUCACGCUUCAGACCUCAACGCAUACAUCAUUCCCCUGGAGUAGCCCUCCUGAUUCGCCAGAAGAAGGCUAAGACAUGGUACCAUUUUGCAACAACAGGAGAGAAGCCAAGAGAACUGUGGAGGCAUAGGCUCUGCCAUUGAUGAGCUGCUGAGAUAACACCAGGAAACACCUACCUCCGGAAUUCUUGAAGGCAGACAACUCAGCUUUCAAACGAUUUGUACUAUGUGGAUGAACUGCAGAUGGACAGCUACGAAGACCCAGGGUUGCAGUGACCUAACGCCAAGAAAUGAAAACUCUAGAAAACUAGCCCUUCACGUAUACAAGACAUGAACACCCUGAGGGCAGGGGCCACAGGGCAAACGUUUCACUGAGUCCUUUAAUCUGACCUGCGGUUAGAAAUCAGCAGUCACGAAGGUAGCCAACUUUCGAGGGAACUUGGCAACAGUGGAGGAGGGCCCGUGAGGCUCCAGCCCAAACCUUGGGAGCUCCGGUAUGAAGUCAGCAUGCUGGUAAGAGGACGACUCUGGAAUGUCAAAGUCCGGCCUGAGCAAAAUGCCUACGGGGUGUCCUGGUCUGCAGAGGGCAGAAAGAAAGCUCUGCUGAGCCGAAAAGGAGCCUAGAUGAAAAAGCUUUCGUUGGUCCAUCUCACCAGCCACACAAAGGCCCUGGGUCCCCAUCCUCCAGCAAGAUGAUGCCAGAUGGCUGACGGACAGAGAACCACCUCCAAAAGUGGACAAAUCUCCCACUUUGGGGACUGGUUCCAAUAAGGGUGCUUCUCACUGUGAUGGUUGAAGGCAUCAACCAGCUUAAAGCAGCAUUAGGUUUUUUGCUUCCUUAUCCUGAAAAGACAAAUCUCUGCCUUCUGAGUACCAGGAUAUUUUCAUAAUUGUACUCUCCGCUUCAAAAAGCCUAGCUGUGAAAGAAUCUUUCAAAGGAAGUUGAUAUAAAACUUAGUUGGGACCCAAAGACAUCUAAUCUGCAAGUUAAAUGGAUAUUCCAUGCAUUCAUAACCAUUCAAAGCAUCCUGAUGUCUAGAGAAACCUAACUGGCCCCAUCCUAUCAUGAUGUUAUUAUUAACCCGGGCCUCAGGGGGGCCCCCUAGAGCAGGGGAACUUAAAGUCAUUCCCAGCCUUAAAAGUGAAUUUCUUAAACGGUUUUCUAUUAGUUAAAUCAGUAAUUAGUCUAAAUACAUCAUUUCAGUAAUCUGCCAUGAGUCAGUUGAAUGCAAAAUGGGGGGAAAAACUGUGGGCUAACUAGGGUGAUCCCCAAGGACACAAUGUUUUAAUCUUAGAUAUAAAAUAACUUUAUAUUUCAUUUGCUUUGCACAUUAUUAAAUGUGUUAAAUAGAUGUGUAUUCCUCAACCUGGCAUAACUACAUAUCCUCUAGAUUUACUGAGCGUACAGAAGGCAGACAGGGCAACUUUGUGGAAAAAAAAAAAAAAAGAAGAAGAAAGAAGAAAACUAAAGAAUAGAACUCUACAACAAAAAUGUAGUUUCUAAAAUGGAUGCCAAAGUAGAAAAGAUAUUGAGAGAAAAAUAUAUGUGUAUUUCAGCAAAACUACAAACACACCAAAACAGGUACCAGCAGCAUGAAAACCCCAGGGGAACAAACCCAAAAAAUCACUCUACUUUAUAGUAACUGAACCUUGGCUUUACCUUCCCCCCAACACCUGAUAAUUCUGUGAAAUCAGCCAGCUGUCACUCUUUUCCUUUUAGAAACAUGACACUGAUUUGUCUUUGUUAGAAUUCAGAGGUCUGCUUGAUGGGGCCCCUAAGAAAUGUAAGUCAUCAUCA
Molecule: long non-coding RNA, 3339 nt
Organism: Aethalodelphis obliquidens (Pacific white-sided dolphin)
Lineage: Eukaryota; Metazoa; Chordata; Mammalia; Artiodactyla; Delphinidae
Exons: 5
Source: RefSeq, a predicted model, not a curated record